This 4364-nucleotide long non-coding RNA is filed under the name Panax ginseng (ginseng). RNAcentral describes it as "long non-coding RNA (PGIN_LNC011347)". The record is from RNAcentral. Lineage: Eukaryota; Viridiplantae; Streptophyta; Magnoliopsida; Apiales; Araliaceae.
CUAACAGUAGCACGGCGUUGCAGAAUGUUGUAUAGUUCUACAGGUUUGCAGUAAAUUGAAAGGCUCUCCUCUGCUGCAAUUUCCUCUUCCGCAGACAAAUGCACACAAGAAUCUUGGCGGCACAUUUGAUCUGCACCUCUAGAAUAACUGCAAUAGAAAAACAAUUAUGCUUACUGAAGUGGACUGAAAUGAAGAUUAUUACUUCUUCAUCAUGCGCCAACUAAAGUGCCAUAACACCAUUGCAUUUAAACAAAGAUUUGUCGCAACAAUCAAAGAAUGAGUAUGUAAUAUUACCCCUUUUGUUUGGCUAGGUAUGAAUUUUAAAAAAUAUUCGACCAAAGAAUGAGCAUAUAAUUUUACCCCUCCUCCACAAGUGUCAUUUGAAUUCCGAAGGUGAGGGAUUCCCAAAAGAUGUUCUUUAGGCUCUCCCAUAUACUUUUCCUUAUUCAAACUAUUUGCCUCACCUAGAAAACAGUAUAUAGAUUAUAGAAUAGUAAAAGAUAUAUCCUUUUACAUUUUUAAUAUGUAUUAACCUCAGCUUGCAACUUUUUUUCUGGAAAGGUAAUUGUGGCCCCAAGUUUGAGGGGACUGCAACCACUCAACUUGCAUUUUGUCCAAACAUUGAAAUUUAAAAUCUAGAGCUUUUAGAGUCAGUAGUCUUUAAAACCCCUUCAAUCAAAAUUCCUCUUAUAUUUUAAAAUUCCCACCCAGACACACCUUGUGUGUUAUCAAUCUAUACAUAUGAAGGAAAAAGCUUUUACAUAUUUGAGCCCUUCUUCAUAUAUUCAAGAAGGUUAUUUAAUUUUGUAGGCAGUACAGGAAAGUAUAAAAUUAUAAAACAAUAAAAAAAAUUAUCUGAAAUGAAAGAGGACAUACAUGGUUUCAUGAACCACUAAAGGUAUGCCUGGCAUUCUUGUUAGGCAAGGUUAAUAUUUAAAUUCAUCUCUAGCAAAACCUUUCCAAAACAAGUAAAAUAUAGGCCCUCCAAACCUGCAAAACAUCACAAUUUAACUAUCCAUUACCUUUUUAUUUUCUCUUUCUUUUGUGGAGGACGGUGAGGCAAAAGAAAUGAAAACACUAGAGUGUUACCAUCCUGAGUGUAGAUAAAAGAAAAUUUCUCACGAAAAGACGAAGAAGAAUAGAUAGCAAAAAUGAAAGAAAAUUCCCGUCAAUAACAAGAACUUGAAACUUAAAGAAACAAAUUUUAUGUCACCUAUAAAGCUAAUAAUCUAUCAACGAUGACUGCGGCAGCAAUGAUGGUUGACAAUGGCAGCAAUAUCUUGUGCUCCAGCGAAGAAUCUCUCUUUUUUGUUUUUUUUUUCAAAAAAUGGACAGAUGGAACGGCUUUGGUUGAGAACGAUUGGGGUUGCAGCUGGGAGGCAAUUUGCUGAACAAUGGGUUUGUUGGUUACAGGUUGUUGGAAUCUACUAGAGUGGUAGUCCCUCGUGAUGAUGAUGACGGCUAGAGUUAAGGGUGGUUUAGAGCUUUGGCAGUACAAUGAUUUUUUAUUAUUUGGGAUGUGUCAUUGGUCUUAUGCAAUUGGGGUUUUUCUCCCCUCUUUCCAUUGAUAGAGCAGCAACACUGACAAUUGCGGAAGACGAUGAACAGUACUCUUUUGUAAUUCUUUUCCCUGGAUCAAUUGGCAAGCUAUGAUGGUGGUGACCAGAUUGAAACUUACUAGAUGCAGUGAUGUACGGGAUGCUGAAAGGUUACAACCGGUACUAGGGUUUCAGCAAGUUCUGGUGAUUGAACAGUUACUCUUUUGUUGUUGACUCGAGCGAACUUUGACAACUAGGUGAUACUAAUGUCAACUCCCUAACAAACUUUAGCAAAUGAUGGUGGCCAAAGAAAAAUAGAAAAUGGGUAGAAAGAUGAUAUGGUUAAAUAAAGAUAUCAGGUUUAGCUCUGAUAACAUCUGAUGCAGAACAAGGUGAAGAAAGGAAUAAUGUAGGAACAAAUAUUAAAUUAUAGGAGAAGAAUAAAUGCCUAAAGUCCACAGUGACAUUUAACAAUGUCAAAUCAAUUCAUAUUCAAUUCAUUGAGUUAUAUUGAUGGGUUAAAUCAACAUAUAUAGGACAUUAGAAUCCUAACUUUAUAUUAACCAGGAAACCUAAUUUUAAAAGGAAACAAACUCCUCAUAAUUAUCUAUUAGAAUUUAAUGAUAUCCUAAUGUUCUCUUAAGCUAAACUGAUAAGUAUUGGAAGAAAGCUUGGGGAGUAGUUCUAGUCAUGUGACUCUAGUAUCUUCUAAAAUAUUACUCCCUCCGUCCCAUAGUUAUAGGCUGAUUUUCCAUUUUGAGAUGUCCCAAUAUAUAGGCUACUUACUAUUUAUAAAAUUUAGUUAGUUCAUUAUUUUACUUUUAUGCCCUUAUAAUAAAAUAUUCAAUCAUUACUCUUUUUUUGAAAAAACAACAUUCAAUGUCAUUAUUUUUAUCACCACAUUUAAUGUUGUUGUAUUCUCUUUGGUUAAAGUUCUAUGGUUGUGGACUUUAACACGUCAAUCAAUGAAGUUGAGAGUUCCAGUGUGAUAAGUAAGGAGUAAUUAACUUAUUCAUUAAUUCCAUAUUAAGGGGUAUAUGUGGAAAAUUUAUGUUAAAAUUACCACUUAAACUAUGUGCCAAAAGAAAUCAGCCUAUAACUAUGGGACGGAGGGAGUAUUAUUAACUACUUCACCUUAACUUCCAUUUAUUUACUAGUUAGGCCUAUAUCCUUAACAAAUAGCAUUGACAAUUGUUGAGAAGAAGAUGAAACAUAAAGUUAUAUGGUUUGAUAAGGGACACCAAAAGUUAAUGAACGUUGGCUACCUUAGCCGAAGCAAGUCCUUAAUAAUCUUAAUGGUUGCAUAUUGCACAGCAUUGCCAUCACAUAUAACAGUUUGAGUAUAACACUUUUUCUGGGAGUUCUUAUUGGGAAAAAGGGAGACGAAUUUCUCUCUUCAUGUCUGGGAAAAAGGUACAACCUUGAGAAUGCAUAUUCUUUAAAGCAUGCAAAGGUAUCGAUUUGUGAAGGGGGGAAAUGACAAUAGGAACAAAGACAGAAUUACAACAAAUACCACAAGAAAAUUGGAGAAAACCUGAAAAGAAAAACAAUCCAAAAUAAAAUAGACAGAUUCACAAUAGGAAAUAACAUCUAAAAGGCAAUUUCAUUACCAGGAUUAUGGCUGUUAAACGAACCUAGCUAUUCGACUCAACACCCAAAUCGAGUUUUGUUAGAUCAUUUUUUAUUGCUCGUUAAGUUAUCGAGUAGAGUCAAAAUAAGUUUCCUGCACUAGUCAACUCAACUCGAUACUUGCCUAAAUUUAAUAAAUUUAAAUUAUUUAUAUGGAUAUUUAUAAUUGUUUUUUUUUUGGCUUUGUAUUUUAUUUAUGUAUUAAUUUAUUUAAAUAAGUAAUUUGAUAUAUAUAAAGAUAUUCAAAAUAUUUAAAAGUAGUAUUUUUAAAAACCAUUCAUAAUCAUAUUAUGAGCUACUCGAGAACUACUAGACUCAAUAAGUGUACAAUUCAAAUUAAAACAUUAAAAAAAUUUGUGUUCGCUAAAUACUCAACUCGAACUUGAUAACUUUUUAUCGAGUUUUCUCUAAAUACUCAACUCUAACUCAAUUUUAUAAUGAGCGGAGCUCCAACUGUAUAUAGUCUACUAGAUUACAGCCCAAAUCAGGAUUGAUCUUCCCACGUAUAAAUCAUAAAAUUUACGAGUAGACUUCACAGGAGGCUUGGAAUAAAAAAGCUUAAAAAAAUCAGAAUUUGUUAAGAAGUCAGAAAACUUGAAGGAAGAUAAAAGAAAGACAAUGGAGAAUGAUUCUAACUAUUUCUAUAUUUUUAGAAUGUUUUUCUCUCUAAACAAACGGGUCAAUAAAAAGCAUAUUUUGUUUUGGUGAGUUUGCCACUCAAUGGAACAAUGCACAAGAUAAGAUCACUAGAUGAAACAGUAAUUGGAGUUGAAAUAAACAGUAUACUCGUACCAAAUCAAGUCCAAAAUUAAUAGGAAAAAAAACAAAUAAACUUAUAACUUAUAGAACUACGUCGAAAUAAAGAUAAAAGAUUACCAGAUGAUUAAAGCCCUAAUAUUGAUCCACAGACCGUAAGGUAUCCAUGCAAAUUAGAUUUCGGAAUUUUGCCAAAAAUUAAAUUUGGGUGGGGAAGAGAGAGAGGGAUGAGAGAAAACAUUCGGAGCUUCUCGCUCAGCUUUCGAAGAGACGGUAGGAGCGAUGUCGUUAAAUUUGCAGCUUCCCAGUUACAAGUAUAAUUAAGAUCAUAAUGACACGGGAAGACGUGAGGGUCUCUCAAUUUGACAAAUCUCAAAAUUUGGUUAUUUUUGUCUACACGUUUAUUUGAUUUUUCUUUAGAUAUACUUAUUUGAAAUUUGG